This 505-nucleotide ribosomal RNA is filed under the name uncultured bacterium. Its description in RNAcentral is "partial 16S ribosomal RNA". It matches the Rfam family "Bacterial small subunit ribosomal RNA", at positions 28 to 507 of the family's 1533-position model. The record is from RNAcentral.
GACGAACGCUGGCGGCGUGCCUAAUACAUGCAAGUAGAACGCACAGUUUAUACCGUAGCUUGCUACACCAUAAACUGUGAGUUGCGAACGGGUGAGUAACGCGUAGGUAACCUGCCUGGUAGCGGGGGAUAACUAUUGGAAACGAUAGCUAAUACCGCAUAAUAUUGAUUAUUGCAUGAUAAUUGAUUGAAAGAUGCUAUUGCAUCACUACCAGAUGGACCUGCGUUGUAUUAGCUAGUAGGUGAGGUAACGGCUCACCUAGGCGAGGAUACAUAGCCGACCUGAGAGGGUGAUCGGACACACUGGGACUGAGACACGGCCCAGACUCCUACGGGAGGCAGCAGUAGGGAAUCUUCGGCAAUGGACGAAAGUCUGACCGAGCAAAGCCGCGUGAGUGAAGAAGGUUUUCGGAUCGUAAAGCUCUGUUGUAAGAGAAGAACGGGUGUGAGAGUGGAAAGUUCACACUGUGACGGUAUCUUACCAGAAAGGGACGGCUAACUACGUG